RNAcentral lists this ribosomal RNA (168 nucleotides) under Staurogyne argentea. Its description in RNAcentral is "5.8S ribosomal RNA". The stretch from base 1 to 79 matches the Rfam family "5.8S ribosomal RNA", at positions 78 to 154 of the family's 154-position model. The record is from RNAcentral. Lineage: Eukaryota; Viridiplantae; Streptophyta; Magnoliopsida; Lamiales; Acanthaceae.
AAUCCCGUGAACCAUCGAGUCUUUGAACGCAAGUUGCGCCCGAAGCCAUUAGGCCGAGGGCACGCCUGCCUGGGCGUCACGCAUCGCGUCGCCCCCCCAUCCGCGCACCAGUGGAUUCAGGGGGGGGCGGAGAUUGGCCUCCCGUGGGCUCCCGCUUGCGGCCGGCCU